UUUUUUUUUUUUUUUUUUUUUUUUUUUUGGUUCUCUUGCAAGACCUUAUGGAAUGGAUGGAAAUUUUAAUUCUAUUAUAGAAGUACAAACCCCUUUUUGGUAUAUUGUAAGUAGAUGAUGAUAUUCGGCUACUGACUGCCUUUUCAGUAAUGUGGUGGUCUAAAUUCUGAAUUCUAUUAUUUUACAUCUGCAGCAACUGAAAGGGUAUUUUUUAUAAACAGAAAACUUCACCUCAUAAAAAUUCAUUACAUAAGGGCAUAAACAAGUACUUUUCCUUGCAGUCAUUGGCAGUAAGUGAUUCAUCAGUUUUCCACAGAAAACCAAUUUCAUUGCAGAUGUUCUGCAGACUCCCUGAAUUGUAGAAUCAUAUCAUCCAAUCCCAGCACGAGGAAGGUAGGAUUUUUUUUUUUAAAGGGUGGAAAAAAGGCUGUGCUUAGUCUUUUUAAUAGGAUUGAAUAUCAUUUGCUGUCUCAUCAGUUUUGUGAAAUAACCAUAAAGUAAUCAGCUUGCCAUUCUUUCCUUCCCUGUGCAGGCUAUCAACUUACUCACAAUGCUGAUUUCAUAGCAAGUGCAUAAGUGAAUAACUUGCAGGAGAGCAAAAUCUUCCUUUGAGGUUAAACAAAAUGUAACUGGGUUACAUAGUUGUCUCUCCUUCUUUUCUUCCUUUUUUCUCUUCUCCUUCAUCUUUCUUGCUUUUUUCAUUCCUUGCUUCCAUUCUUUCCUUCCUGUUUAAUGCUUCAAAAUAUAGAAAUUUCCCAUAGUAAUCAGCCACUAAUUUUCAUUGUCCAACAAACUUGCCUUUUUUCUUCCUUUUUUAAAAUAGAGUUUAUUUUUCUAAGAACCAGUAAUUAACUGGUUAAUUCAAUUCCGUUUUUUCACAAUGAGCCAGAAAUAAAGGAUAGACCUAAAAUGUACAUCUUGCUAGUGUGUGCAAUUUUGUUUAAUUCUAUUCUGUAUAACAUAUAUAAUCCACCCUACUAUAUUUCCACUGUAUUAAACUAUGUAGAUACAAAAUUCAAUUCUGAGAGCUGAAGGAGGGAAAGGAGACAAAGGAAUAUAUUAAGAUGAAAGUGAAAAGGAGUGGAGAAAGUUUGAAGCAGGGAAACCAGAAAAGUAGUUGGCAAGCAGCAGGAACCAGAAAGAGGUUUUUUUGGGGUUUUUUUGGGGGUUUUUUUUUGAGGAGGAGGAAUUAAUUUUAUUGAUACCUCCAAGAUGGAGUUGAAUUUAGCCCAUAGAGAAGAAGCUGAUAGUAGCAAAAUGCACAGAUAAAGUCAGCAGGUAAAUGUUCUAUACAGCUUUAAGUCUUUCUGUAAGUCUUCUAUUUCCCAUUUUGUUUUCUCUAUUGCUACUAUUCAUAACAUAGCAUAGAGAGAACAUUCCUCCAAACCUGUGAAUCAAUGAACUGAAAUCAGCAAGAUCCUGUUUAGAGUCAUAGAAUCAAAGAAUCAUUUAAUUUGUAAAAGACCUCUAAGAUCAUCAAAUCCAACCACUUCAAUCCACCACCAAACCAUGUCCCCAGGUACCACAUCUACAGGCAUUUUAUAUACUUCCAGGAUGAUGACUCAACCAGUUCCAUGGAAGCCUAUUCCAAUGCUUGACAACCUUUCCAUAAAGAAGUUUUUCCUAAUAUGCAUUCUAAUCCUCUCCUGGUGCAAUGUGGGGCCAGUUCCUCAUAUCCUAUCACUUGUUGUUCAGGCAAAGAAACUUCCCCACAAUCCCACCUUGCCACAACUUCCACUCAGGGAGUUGUAGAGAUCAAACAGGUCCCUCCUGAGUGUCCUGAGGGAUCCUCCUGAGGGAUCUCAGGCUAUACAACAGCAGCUUCCUCAGCUGCUCCUCAUAAGGCUUGGGCUCCAGACCCCUCACAGUCCUGCUGGACACACUCCAGCACCUCAAUGUCUUUGCAGUGUCAUCUUCUCCAGGCUGAACAGACCAAGUUACCUCAGCUGUUCCUCAAGGCUCUUCACCAUAUUUUUUGCCCUCCUUUGUGCACUUUUUAACAGCUUAAUGUCUUUCUCAUAUUGUACUACCCAAAACUACACACAGGACUCAAUGUGAGGCUGCAUCAGCAGGUAGGACAAGGUCAAACAGGACCUGCCUUUUACAAAUGCAGGCUGGCUCACCCUGAUGCUCUGAUUGUCCUGCAUGUGCCGUGUGAUGGCACUCAAGAUGAUCAGCUCCAUGAUCUUCCCUGGCAUUGAGGUCAAGCUGACAGAUCUGUAGUUCCCAGAUCGUUUUUCUAUCCCUUCUUGGAGAUGAGUGUCACAUUUACCAACUUCCACUGAACAGGGGCCUCCCUGGUUAUCCAGAGCUGCUGGUAAAUGAUUGAAAGUGUUUCAAUGUGCACUUCCCCAGUGCCUUAUCUUGUAUCUGUAUCAAAAAAAUAGUAUGUAAUUUGAUGUUGAAAAUUAAUUGUGAAAGUCCUAAAGAAGAAGCUUUUGUUCGGAGCUUGAGAAAACAGGAAAAUAUAUAUCCAAAUGACUUUUGUUGACCAGUUCAGCCACAGGAGUUCAACAUUUAACAGCUAAGCUAUACUACACCAGAAAACUAAGCCUAUCUGGGUUUUUUGGUACUCUGGCCAGUAUACAUGGCACAGUUCCCCAUCUAUGUUAGUAAAUUCACUACAUAUCAUAAGGAGGUGGCUUUGAAUGCUUGAGCCCAACUGAGUGUAUUUAUAAACAGCCACAGAGAAUAUAAACAGACACAGAGAAUUAAUUUCUAAGCCAUUUUGAAUGCAUUUCACAUGGAUGCAUGCUGCCUUCUUCCACUAACCCCCAUUAAAAAAAAAAAAAUCAUAGAAUUAGGGAGUCAUAAAAGAAGCAUCAGUUUCAACUUUCACAUCACUGGUUCUGCAGAAGGAUCUGAGAGUGCCCCAGCAAACUCUCUACUUCUUUAUUGCUUCUCCAGUUCAUUUUUUUCUCAGGCAAAACCCUUGUGUGGUUUCCCUCCUGUGACUCUUAGAAUAAACAAAGGAGUUCAAACUGCUGGUGCCCAUGUUUCCAGCCUAGAAUCCAUGUUUUCUUAAAAACGGUGCCACAGAAAUAGUAUCUUCAUUCUCAUUCAAGUUCUUUCUCUGCAAAGACAAUGGGGCAAAGCCUGGACUGGGUUUAAGCAUGACUUAAGAGCCUGUCUCCUAGGCUCUUUCUUUAUAAACUUAUAUCUGGCUCCAAACCACACAGGACCAGGAUGUUGGCUCAGGAUGUUUUCUCAACGAAAUAAAAAUGAAUUUGUAAUAUCUCCUAGAGGAGAGUGCACUCAAGCUACCUGUAUUUGCCCUAUGAAGAUUAUAGAAACAAAAGCUUGAGCCCAUACUAAAACUGUGAGCAUAUGCAGGUUUUCGCUCCUUCAAAAAUCUACAGAAUUUUUCCUGCAUGUCUCUAUUAAAUAGUGUUGUAAACAAUAUGGAUGACUAGCAAAUUUAAAUUCAAGUACAGGAUAAGAUACUUAAUUUCAAAGCUUUGGUUUACAUAGAAAGGAUGAACACUGAUUUUGUCAUUAGUCAUGCUUUCUCCUUGUGUAUCCAUAAAGAUGGAGCUAUGGAGUAAGUGCAAACCAGCGCAAACAGAUCUGUUCAGCCCUAAAUUCAAGUAUGGUGAAAAAUGAGAAAUUGCACCCUAAUAGCAAGGAAGAAUGGGUUUCUUAAUAUGUAAGUUUAUACAUAUAUAAAGAUAUAUGAUGGUUUAUGAACUAUUAUUUUUAAGAUCUACUCUUAAAGAAUUACAGACUUUCCUCUCCUGAAAGCCGUGCAGCUGUCUUACAGGGUGCCAGAGAUUGUAAGAUCAAGCACCCAAGGAGAAGAGUUUACACAAUUUUGUAAGAAUGAACUGUGACAGGACACAAAAAUAUGUUCCAGGAGAAAAAAAAUACUAUAGAUAUAUGGACAUAAAUAAAAAAAGGAAGUAAUUUCAGAGAAAAGCUUAAGGAGGACUUCAACAAGGAGAAGGCACUUGGCAACUGGGGACGAGAAAAUUUACCUCAUGCAGCCACUUGGAUUGAGGAGAGCAGCAUGUAAAAUGAAGAAAAGUUGAUUCUUACUGAAGUAUUGAAAAAACCUAUUGAAUUAAGUUUUUCCUUUAAGAUGCCUUGCUGGAGUUUUCUGUGUGAGAAAGAAUCAGCCUGCUAACUGCAGGCUGCAAGUGAAUAUGUGGGAAAAGAUUUUUCUUUCUAUGAUAUAGGUUACACUGACAUGUAGAAUGGAAGUUUAAUACUGUACUUUAUCAUUAGUCUAAUAAAAUUACAGAUAUCAGCUCCUUUAACAAAUUAAAGUUAUACCACAUGGGGAAAAGGAUUAAACCACGUGCAGAAUUAGGGUUAUCUUCACUCCUUUCUGGCCUUAGACCAUAGAAAUGAAAAGGACAGGUUGGAGAAAGUUGCUAGGAGACUGUAAUCACAAGUGUCAGAAUAAUACAUUUUUAUUUAAAAUAGGAAAUGUUGAUUAAUGAACAUACUUAACAGGUAAUGAGUAAAGGUGUUGAAAGCAUCUAUGUUCAAUCAAAUUUCAGGUGAAACAUUUAAUUUAUAUAUUGAAAAGCCAUUGAAAAUUGAAAGUCUUCAAGGUAAAGCUAACCAAGCCAAGCAGUUAAAACUGAAGGACACAACAGUUUCAGGAGUACUUCAGUAGAAGCCUCUAGAUACUAAGAAGCAAAAGAAAAUAUUUCCAAUGUGUACACUUACCCAAUAAGUGUAAAAUUAAAUAACAAAAGAGGAAAUUAUUUAGCUAUUAGAGUCCCAUGUAGAUAUGUUGUAGAAACUAAAGUGAGACAACUGCUUUGCAAGCAACAAAUUGAUUUAAAGGUAAGAUACUGGAGAAGAUGUUGUAUAUGUAGCAAAUUAAAAUGGGAAAAAACAAAGCAAUAAAUUAAAUCAAUGGUAAAGAAACUUCAGCCUAAAUGAAAAGGUAACUUCAUAAAGCAUGAAAAAAAGGGUCCUAGGAUUUAUUAUAUCAAAGCCUCCCACAGUCUCCACAUGUUGCUUUAAUUUGUGUCAAUUUUAACAGGUAUUACACCCAGAAAACACUAGCAUGAUAUUUUGUGCACAACAUUUAUGAUCCUUAGGUUCUUGGAACCAGGAGUCCGAGUUUUUCACACAGCUUGGAAUCUGAGACUACAAGACAUUGGCUCUCCUCUCUCACAUGUAGGUGUAAGUGGUAAUGCAUAAUAAGCAGUUUACUGGGAUGACAACCUCAGCUUCAUGAACAUAGAAUGGAUUGUGUCCUUAUUGAUUCAUUUCAGUGUCAAGAAAACCAGUCAACAAGAUUGUCCAUCCAAACCAAGUAAAAUAAUUUGACUGCCAGGAAAAAAUUACUUCCUAUAUGUCAAUAGACACCUGCAGAAAACAGGAAAUGAGAUACUGGUCCAAUGUCGGGCAGCUGAUCACUCAGCCUUCUAGCAACAACAAAAUCUUAUGCUAGAUACAAAUCUUGCUAAGUCUCCUAGCGAAAAAAAAAAACUGUAGUAACAGAAGAGGAAUCAUGAAAUGCUCUUGAAAUAAUGAUAGUUUGAAAUGAACUAAUCAUUCCAUCUUAAAUGUAGAAUAAUCAUACAAACAUAAAAUAUUUCUAUGGUGGUUUUAAUUGAUAAAUAAUAAAUCCAGACAUUUCUUUUUACCAAGCCAUCACUUAACUAAUUCUAAACUAAAUAUUUCUAAUUAAGUAUUAUAUGAAUAUGUUUAUAUCUAUAUACUUAUUAUUUCUAAUAAGCAAGACUAGCUGCAUGCUAUGAGAAAAUAGUCAUGCCUAAAACAAUUACAGUACAGGAAAAAUACAUUGUUGGUGAUGUUAGCUGAAAUGACAGCUUAUACAGAGACAGUGUAAUCUGAAAUAGUGUUUCACUUCUUAAAAAAAAAAUUUUAAAAACUAUUUUAAUAAUCAGCAAAUUCUCAAAUUUGAGAAAGCAUAUGAGAAACACAAAGUACAACUGAUAGUUUGUCCACUAUCCAGUAAACUGUACUAGUAAACUAAUACAGUUAGGAAAAAAUGUUUUGUUAAUUUGUAAUGGAGAACAGCAAAUGUACCUUGUGUGUACAAAAAAAAAAAA
Long non-coding RNA from Taeniopygia guttata (zebra finch), 6035 nucleotides. The record is from Ensembl. Lineage: Eukaryota; Metazoa; Chordata; Aves; Passeriformes; Estrildidae.